UAGUUCAAUAUUAUUUCACCA
Molecule: non-coding RNA, 21 nt
Organism: Caenorhabditis elegans
Lineage: Eukaryota; Metazoa; Nematoda; Chromadorea; Rhabditida; Rhabditidae
Source: Ensembl